AUUCCAGCUCCAAUAGCGUAUAUUAAUGUUGUUGCAGUUAAAAAGCUCGUAGUUGAAUUUCUGGUUAAAAUCUUAGCUGGCUUUGGUCGUUAAUGUUUUAAUCAUCCGUUAGAGAACUAUAACCGUCCUUAACUGGUCAUUAUAGAGAUCUAACAUUUUACUUUGAAAAAAUUAGAGUGUUCAAGGCAGGCAAUCGUCAUGAAUACUAAAGCAUGGAAUAAUGGAAUAGGACUUUGGUUCAUUUUAUUGGUUAUUGAACCUUAGUAAUGAUUAACAGGGACAGUUGGGGGCAUUAGUAUUUAAUUGUCAGAGGUGAAAUUCUUGGAUUUAUUAAAGACUAACUUAUGCGAAAGCAUUUGCCAAGGAUGUUUCCAUUA
This 377-nucleotide ribosomal RNA is filed under the name Prostomatea sp. RNAcentral's name for it is "partial small subunit ribosomal RNA". It matches the Rfam family "Eukaryotic small subunit ribosomal RNA", at positions 582 to 975 of the family's 1831-position model. The record is from RNAcentral. Lineage: Eukaryota; Ciliophora; Prostomatea.